UUUUUCCUACGGGGGGCAGCAGUGGGGAAUAUCGCACAAUGGGGGAAACCCUGAUGCAGCGACGCCGCGUGAGCGAUGAAGUAUUUCGGUAUGUAAAGCUCUAUCAGCAGGGAAGAAAAUGACGGUACCUGACUAAGAAGCCCCGGCUAACUACGUGCCAGCAGCCGCGGUAAUACGUAGGGGGCAAGCGUUAUCCGGAUUUACUGGGAGUAAAGGGAGCGUAGACGGUCCUGCAAGCCAGCUGUGAAAGCCCGGGGCUCAACCCCGGGACUGCAUUUCG
Molecule: ribosomal RNA, 280 nt
Filed under: uncultured bacterium
Lineage: Bacteria
Description: partial 16S ribosomal RNA
Rfam family: Bacterial small subunit ribosomal RNA
Source: RNAcentral